CGGUAAUUCCAGCUCCAAUAGCGUAUAUUAAAGUUGUUGCGGUUAAAAAGCUCGUAGUUGGAUUUCUGUCGAGGACGACCGGUCCGCCCUCUGGGUGAGCAUCUGGCUCGGCCUUGGCAUCUUCUUGGUGAACGUAGCUGCACUUGACUGUGUGGUACGGUAUUCAGGACAUUUACUUUGAGGAAAUUAGAGUGUUUCAAGCAGGCUUUCGCCGUGCAUACAUUAGCAUGGAAUAAUGACAUAGGACCCCGGUUCUAUUUUGUUGGUUUCUAGAACUGAGGUAAUGAUUAAUAGGGACAGUUGGGGGCAUUCGUAUUUAACUGUCAGAGGUGAAAUUCUUGGAUUUGUUAAAGACGAACUACUGCGAAAGCAUUUGCCAAGGAUGUUUUCAUUGAUCAAGAACGAAAGUUAGGGGAUCGAAGACGAUCAGAUACCGUCCUAGUCUUAACCAUAAACCAUGCCGACUAGGGAUUGGAGGUCGUUACUCAUACGACCCCUUCAGCACCUUAUGAGAAAUCAAAGUCUUUGGGUUCCGGGGGGAGUAUGGUCGCAAGGCCGAAACUUAAAGGAAUUGACGGAAGGGCACCACCAGGAGUGGAGCCUGCGGCUUAAUUUGACUCAACACGGGGAAACUUACCAGGUCCAGACAUAGGAAGGAUUGACAGAUUGAUAGCUCUUUCUUGAUUCUUUGGGUGGUGGUGCAUGGCCGUUCUUAGUUGGUGGAGUGAUUUGUCUGCUUAAUUGCGUUAACGAACGAGACCUUAACCUGCUAAAUAGUGGCUAGAACCCCAGGGUUUCAAGGUGACUUCUUAGAGGGACUUCGUGGGUUUACCAUGAGGAAGCGUGAGGCAAUAACAGGUCUGUGAUGUCCUUAGAUGUUCUGGGCUGCACGCGCGCUACACUGAUGCGUCCAACGAGCACCGAACCUACUCCGGAAGGAAUGGGUAACCUUGUGAAAGCGCAUCGUGAUGGGGAUCGAUGCUUGCAAUUUUUCAUCGUGAACAAGGAAUCCCUAGUAAACGCAAGUCAUCAGCUUGCGCUGAUUACGUCCCUGCCCUUUGUACACACCGCCCGUCGCACCUACCGAUUGAAUGGUCCGGUGAAAUCUUCGGAUCUGAGAGAUGCUGGAUUCAUUUUUGGCGUCUUUUAGAAAAGUUGCCUAAACCUUAUCAUUUAGAGGAAGGUGAAGUCGUAACAAGGUAGCCG
Molecule: ribosomal RNA, 1206 nt
Filed under: uncultured eukaryote
Lineage: Eukaryota
Description: partial small subunit ribosomal RNA
Rfam family: Eukaryotic small subunit ribosomal RNA
Source: RNAcentral